UCCUUUGGAACAGUGUGAGUGUGCAUGCUCAUGCGUAGGGGGGGGGACUGUUUUCUUUUCUGGAAAACCAAAUGGCAAAUGUGGUCUUACUUCUUGUCAUCCUUAGUUUUCUAAUUCUGUAGUUGUCAGCUACAUGGGGAAUUGGCAUGCUGUGCCCUCCAGAACUAUGCCUUAAGAGCCCUUACUGUUUCCAGUAGGUUGAGUUCCCGUGACACACAGAGAGGACAUAGUCCUCCUUUGAUGGGCUCCCUCCUUCCCCACCCCACCCCCUUUUCAAGCUGUAUAGGACUAGCUCUCAAUAUGAAGUCCUUUUGCACAUCAGGAGUUCUGAUCUUUGAGCCUUGGGACAUGAAGAAGGAUGACAGAUGGCAGAUAAGCUCAACUCGACGCAUCAGACACUACGUACGUAUCCGUGUUGUGUCUGGUUUGUGGUAAUAAUAUUCCUUCAAGCAACAUGUACUGAAUGAGCCAGGAAGACACUAUUGUGCUCGGCUAGAAUUGUCUUCAUCCUGCACACAAGGAAGCCAUGGCCUCGCUAGAGGAAUUAGAUCCCUGGGGUCUAGGGGGCCUGUGCUUGCUUUGGCCUCUUCCCUUAGCUCCCUUUUCUCUGCAUUCUGGUGCCACGAUGGGAUCUGCUCUACUCUGCCACAUCUUUCUAUAGAUUAACACCUUGGAAACCAGGAGCCCCAGGGAAAUCAACCCUUCAGUUGCUUCUGUCAGGAACUCGGGCGCAGCGACACAAAGUCAGUUAUGCAUCCACAGAAAGAAAAGGGAGAAAUGCAGAACAGCAAGCUGGGGCUUGUGAAGAGUUAGCCCAAGGAGGGGGGCUGGAGCCACGCCCGCCCUGAACCUGACUUUUCAAAGAACGGUUUCGCCAACCUCUGCUAUAGCAGUGGCCCCAGGCCACCUAAGUAUGAUUGUUUGGUGUGGGGGUGAAAACAGAACUUCUUCACAGGGCUGCCACAUCUUGGAGAUGUCCAUCCUAGACUUUUCUCAUCUGCUGAAUGAGGAGAAUGGCCCUAGACUUCCAACAUGGCGCUGAGAAUCCCGGAGACUGUCUCCAUAAAGUCCUAAAAUGUUCAUAGUCACAUAAUAAGGAUUUGGGUGGUUAAUGUCUUGAAGAUCUUUGUCAUGUGACCAUAGCCACGUAGUGAGCAUUCGCAUGGUUUACAGCUGGCUUGGCCUACUAGCACCUGAUCUUGACUUUUCCUAAUAUAACUACAGUGUCGCUGGACAAAGUCUGGGGUCAACUUUCCCCUAAUGCGUACACUUGAACGACAUGGGCCACACAGAAAAGCGGCACACUCACCUGGGGCUGGUGUCUUUCUGUGCGGGCCCAUAGCCUCACACCGUCUCUGACGAGCAUUUGCGCAUCCUCCACAACUAUCCAGGUGUCAAGCUGAGUCGAAGCCUUGUACCCACGUUCACCCACUUGCAGUAAUUAGAUCCGUUAGAGAAAAGUGUGGGUUGAUAUGAAAAGCAAAGUCCUACUUGUUGCUGUCAUCCAGGGGCUCACAUGACCCUGAUAUCAUCAUCACCCUCUGCCAGCAUGGCCUGGAUCAGCUUACCCCUCCUUUCUAACUACUCAGCAUUCAUUAUCCACAACGUUGUCAGAUUCACUAGAUGAAGAAAACCAUGUGUGGGGAAGAGAAGCCGAGCUGGGAUGGAGACAGCGUGGAGAACAAGUGUGGGGCUGUCCAAGCUUCACUGCCGGCACCUCCUACGCGUGACUCCGGUUUCUCACUUCGCCUCUUUGAACUUCGUCUUCUUUUAUUACACCAUGAAGGAGUUGGUCUGGGUUAUGCGUGAGGCUCCUUUCAAGACAAUUAUUCUCUACAAACAUGACAGAAGUAAAAUUUAAAGCCAGAAGUAGACUGUGUCUUCUGUAUUCUAAAUAUAUUGAAGGUUUUUUUUUUUUUUUUUUUAAUAAAGGUUUUA
Meriones unguiculatus (Mongolian gerbil) is the source of this 1938-nucleotide long non-coding RNA. RefSeq lists it as uncharacterized. NCBI's taxonomy places the organism in Eukaryota, Metazoa, Chordata, Mammalia, Rodentia, Muridae. The record is from RefSeq and is a predicted model, not a curated record. The transcript has 5 exons.